GGGUCAGUAGGUUGGUCGUGCCACCGGUACGUACUGGUCUCACUGAUUCCUCCUUCCUGAAGAACCGUAAUGCCAUUAAUUUGGUGUUGUGGGGAAACAGGACUGUUACUUUGAAAAAAUUAGAGUGUUUAAAGCAAGCUAACGCUUGAAUACAUUAGCAUGGAAUAACGAAAUAGGACGAUCGAUCCUAUUUUGUUGGUUUCUAGGAUUGACGUA
RNAcentral lists this ribosomal RNA (216 nucleotides) under Glomeromycotina sp. Its description in RNAcentral is "partial small subunit ribosomal RNA". The stretch from base 40 to 216 matches the Rfam family "Eukaryotic small subunit ribosomal RNA", at positions 686 to 864 of the family's 1831-position model. Lineage: Eukaryota; Fungi; Glomeromycota. The record is from RNAcentral.